This 519-nucleotide unclassified non-coding RNA is filed under the name Hevea brasiliensis (rubber tree). The record is from RNAcentral. Lineage: Eukaryota; Viridiplantae; Streptophyta; Magnoliopsida; Malpighiales; Euphorbiaceae.
AUUGCAAACUAUGAGGUCAAAAUUGAAAUAUUAAGCAAGGGAUGAAAUUGAAACUUUAAUGAAACAUCAAUAGCCAAAUCUUGGUAUUACAAUUGUCAAAGAAUCUGUAUCUCUAGCAAUAUUUGUUAACUGGUUGGUGUUGGUUGGUAUUUAUUUAAAUAGGUGAAUUUCUUUUUUAAUAUCAUAAGUUCAUAAUUUCUAAUUACUAUCUUUGUUGCUUGUUAUGCCUUCACUUCUCCAAAAUAUUGUUUCUCGUUCUGGAUAUUACAUCAGUUGCCUUAGUGGUAUGUAGCUUUUUUGUGGAAUUUCAGUGUUAAAUAUAGAAUGUAAAUGUGGAAUUUUUCCUUGUAUAUAUAUACGUACAUAGUUACAUACACACUGGUUCAAAGUUAAACGUUUCAACAGUUGAAUUCCUUUCUCUUUUGGUUAGAGUUUGAAUAUUGUAUGUUUUAUCUGAUCGGCAUGAUUGUGAUUCAAAUCGGUCGAUUCCAUACAGGUUCCUAACUAAUGCAUGCCUUA